This 374-nucleotide ribosomal RNA is filed under the name uncultured organism. Its description in RNAcentral is "bacterial SSU rRNA". It matches the Rfam family "Bacterial small subunit ribosomal RNA", at positions 526 to 896 of the family's 1533-position model. The record is from RNAcentral.
CGGGGGGAGCAAGCGUUGUUCGGAUUUACUGGGCGUAAAGGGCGUGUAGGCGGCCACCGCAAGUCAGUUGUGAAAGCUCUGGGCUUAACCCAGAAAGGUCAACUGAUACUGCGGGGCUAGAGUGCAGAAGGGGCAACUGGAAUUCUCGGUGUAGCGGUGAGAUGCGUAGAUAUCGAGAGGAACACCUGCGGCGAAGGCGGGUUGCUGGGCUGACACUGACGCUGAAACGCGAAAGCUAGGGGAGCGAACGGGAUUAGAUACCCCGGUAGUCCUAGCCUUAAACGAUGAAUGCUUGGUGUCUGGGGUUUUAUAGUCCCCGGGUGCCGUCGCUAACGCUUUAAGCAUUCCGCCUGGGGAGUACGGUCGCAAGACUG